Castor canadensis (American beaver) is the source of this 115-nucleotide ribosomal RNA. The record is from Ensembl. NCBI's taxonomy places the organism in Eukaryota, Metazoa, Chordata, Mammalia, Rodentia, Castoridae.
AACUAUGGCCAUACCACCCUGAACGCACCUGAUCUUGUCUGAUCUCCAAAGCUAAGCAGGAUUGGGCCUGGUUAGUACUUGGAUGAGAGAAAUGAACACAAACAGAGCCUAGCAU